This 495-nucleotide ribosomal RNA is filed under the name uncultured bacterium. RNAcentral's name for it is "partial 16S ribosomal RNA". It matches the Rfam family "Bacterial small subunit ribosomal RNA", at positions 28 to 507 of the family's 1533-position model. The record is from RNAcentral.
GACGAACGCUGGCGGCGUGCCUAAUACAUGCAAGUAGAACGCUGAAGGAGGAGCUUGCUCUUCUGGAUGAGUUGCGAACGGGUGAGUAACGCGUAGGUAACCUGCCUGGUAGCGGGGGAUAACUAUUGGAAACGAUAGCUAAUACCGCAUAACAGUAGAUGUUGCAUGACAUUUACUUAAAAGGUGCAAUUGCAUCACUACCAGAUGGACCUGCGUUGUAUUAGCUAGUUGGUGGGGUAACGGCUCACCAAGGCGACGAUACAUAGCCGACCUGAGAGGGGGAUCGGCCACACUGGGACCGAGAAACGGCCCAGACUCCUACGGGAGGCAGCAGUAGGGAAUCUUCGGGAAUGGACGGAAGUCUGACCGAGCAACGCCGGGUGAGUGAAGAAGGUUUUCGGAUCGUAAAGCUCUGUUGUAAGAGAAGAAAGAGUGUGAGAGUGGAAAGUUCACACUGUGACGGUAUCUUACCAGAAAGGGACGGCUAACUACGUG